This 616-nucleotide ribosomal RNA is filed under the name uncultured bacterium. Its description in RNAcentral is "bacterial SSU rRNA". It matches the Rfam family "Bacterial small subunit ribosomal RNA", at positions 64 to 679 of the family's 1533-position model. The record is from RNAcentral.
CGACGGUAGAGGGGGCAACCCCUCGAGAGUGGCGAACGGGUGAGUAAUAUAUCGGAACGUGCCCAGUCGUGGGGGAUAACGUAGCGAAAGUUACGCUAAUACCGCAUACGAUCUAAGGAUGAAAGCGGGGGAUCGCAAGACCUCGCGCGAUUGGAGCGGCCGAUAUCAGAUUAGGUAGUUGGUGGGGUAAUGGCUCACCAAGCCAACGAUCUGUAGCUGGUCUGAGAGGACGACCAGCCACACUGGAACUGAGACACGGUCCAGACUCCUACGGGAGGCAGCAGUGGGGAAUUUUGGACAAUGGACGCAAGUCUGAUCCAGCCAUUCCGCGUGCAGGAUGAAGGCCCUCGGGUUGUAAACUGCUUUUGUACGGAACGAAAAGGUCUCUAUUAAUACUAGGGGCUCAUGACGGUACCGUAAGAAUAAGCACCGGCUAACUACGUGCCAGCAGCCGCGGUAAUACGUAGGGUGCAAGCGUUAAUCGGAAUUACUGGGCGUAAAGCGUGCGCAGGCGGUUAUAUAAGACAGAUGUGAAAUCCCUGGGCUCAACCUGGGAACUGCAUUUGUGACUGUAUAGCUAGAGUACGGUAGAGGGGGAUGGAAUUCCGCGUGUAGC